GCCGCACUUAAACAAGUUCCUUGCCUCUCAGGGUUGCGGUUGCCCGGACAGGAGGCUAAUAAUCCGUAAGGAGCACUACUAAUG
Regulatory RNA element from Morganella morganii subsp. morganii KT, 84 nucleotides. It matches the Rfam family "RpsF leader". Rfam says of the family: Conserved and widely distributed to many bacterial species RNA structure. Lineage: Bacteria; Pseudomonadati; Pseudomonadota; Gammaproteobacteria; Enterobacterales; Morganellaceae. The record is from Rfam.